GCCAGGCGCAGUAGUGCACGCCCAUAAUCCCAGCAGCUUGGGAGGCUGAGGCAGGAGGAUCAUGAGUUCAAAGCCAGCCUCAGCAACUUAACCAUGCCCUGAGCAACUCAGUGAGACCCUGUCUCUA
RNAcentral lists this small RNA (127 nucleotides) under Marmota monax (woodchuck). Lineage: Eukaryota; Metazoa; Chordata; Mammalia; Rodentia; Sciuridae. The record is from RNAcentral.